ACUCCUGUCCAUCGUGAUGGACAUAUUCUGUGCUGCCAUCUGGUGGAGUGUGGAGCAAACAGCACUGAAAACAACUCGCUGCUCGUAGUUGCAAAUGGCGACCUGCAGCACUCGCACGUUCUACGGCCGACGCCAAGGACUAACAACAAGUCAGGCUGAUGCCAUUUUAGACAGUGUGUGCGGUGCCACAAGUUCUGACGUUGACGACUCUGACGAUGACAUUGAUUUUGUGGCAGCAGAAAAUGAAGUUAGAGAAGAUUCUUCGUCUUCCGACGAAUCAAGUGAUGAAGAUGAAUCGCGGCCGCCUGCCAGGAAAGUUUGGAAACCCUCUGCCAGCCCCCCAUCAAACUCUGGCGCACAAGUUUUGGAGACUGGGUGCUGACAUGAUCCAAGCAAGGGAACGUUCACACCUGGCGACUACUUUCGGCAGUACUUCGCUUCCAGCAUGUAUGAGACACUGGCUGAAAAAACUAACAUUAGGAUCCUGGAGCGAAAUGGGACGAUCGCAAAAGUAACAAGGCAAGAGGUUCAACAUUUUUUUGGAAUAUCUAUGUUGAUGAGUACAACUGGGUACCCCCGUCUUCGUUACUACUGGAAGGCUGGACUUGGAGUGCAGUUGAUAAUCAACGCCAUGGCCCGAGACAGGUUUUUCUGGAUCCGUUCUAACCUCACGUGCACAACAGAGAUCGAGGUGCCUGAUGCAGUAAAGAAGGGGGACAGGCUGUGGAAAGUGAAGCCAUUUGUGACCAUGAUUCGGGAUGGAUGCCUCUCUCUGCUGCGGCCGAACUGUUUCUCGAUCGAUGAGCAGAUGGUCCCUUUUACGGGAAGAACAUCACUCAAGCAGUAUGUUCCAAACAAGCCGCACCCCAUAGGCCUCAAGAAUUUCGUCCUUGCGGGACAGGAUGGAUUGGUUUACGAUUUUCAUCUGUACCAAGGAAAAUCUACUUUUCCAGACUAUGGACUUGGGGUGUCAGGAAACUCCGUCGUACAUCUGUGCCAAACCAUCCCACAGGAUUCCACACUUUAUUUUGAUCGGUGGUUAACGUCUGUACCACUUCUCGAAACACUGCUUAGGAAGAAGAUAUUCGCAACUGGAACGAUAAUGAAGAAUCGGAUCCCGAAAACAGCAGAGCUGGCUUCAGACAAGGAAUUAGCAAAAGAAUCUCGUGGGAAAUCAGAUGCUGUUCUGAAACACGAUGGCAGUCUCUCCAUAACCAAGUGGUAUGACAAAAAGGCAGUCACACUUGCAUCCACAGCAUUUGGUGUUGAACCCGUCGGUACAUGCCAGCGAUACAGUAAGCAGGAGCACAGAAAGGUCGCAGUCCCUCGUCCAAUGGUGGUCCAAAAGUACAACGAAAAAAUGGGAGGCGUUGACCUCUGCGACAGGAUGAUGUCGUUUUACAGCCAACGUCGCCGUACCUCAAGAUGGACCCUCAGGACGAUGAUUCACCUCGUUGACCUGGCCUGCGUGAAUGCAUGGAUUGAGUACCGUGCAAACAAGAAGUAUCUGAAGCAACCUGCCAUGCAGUACAUCGAAUUCAAAAUCAGUGUGGCUGAGUCACUUCUCAGUACCAUACUUGAAGAGGAUUCAAACUCCAGCGAUGAAGACACGGUUGAAGUUCCACGCAAGAGAGUCAAGCCGCUGCCAAGCUUGCCAGUCCGGACGUCACAGGCACUUCACAUGCCAAAGAAAGAAAGCAUCAAGAACGCUGCACGGUGCAGGAACCCUGGCUGCUCAAAGAAGACUCGGCACCGUUGCACGUCCUGUGACAUCUACCUUUGCAUUGAAACUGACCGGCACUGCUUCUUUGAUUUCCAUACCAAGAAAUGAGUCAUUUCUUUGCCGGUAUCGCUCCAGUUUUGUUAUUUGUCCUCCCAAAGCCUAACCUGGAAAAGUUAACUCACAAAAUGUUGAAUAAAGUUUGUGUUCAUUUUCCUGA
This is a long non-coding RNA of Ixodes scapularis (black-legged tick), 1940 nucleotides long. RefSeq lists it as uncharacterized. Lineage: Eukaryota; Metazoa; Arthropoda; Arachnida; Ixodida; Ixodidae. The record is from RefSeq and is a predicted model, not a curated record. The transcript has 2 exons.